UACGGAGGGGGCUAGCGUUGUUCGGAAUUACUGGGCGUAAAGCGCGCGUAGGCGGCUUUGUAAGUUAGAGGUGAAAGCCCGGGGCUCAACCCCGGAACAGCCUUUAAGACUGCAUCGCUAGAAUCCGGGAGAGGUGAGUGGAAUUCCGAGUGUAGAGGUGAAAUUCGUAGAUAUUCGGAAGAACACCAGUGGCGAAGGCGACUCGCUGGACAAGUAUUGACGCUGAGGUGCGAAAGCGUGGGGAGCAAACAGG
RNAcentral lists this ribosomal RNA (253 nucleotides) under uncultured bacterium. Its description in RNAcentral is "partial 16S ribosomal RNA". It matches the Rfam family "Bacterial small subunit ribosomal RNA", at positions 524 to 776 of the family's 1533-position model. The record is from RNAcentral.